AGAGUUUGAUCAUGGCUCAGAAUCAACGCUGGCGGCGUGCCUAACACAUGCAAGUCGAACGCGAAAGGGGCUUCGGUCCUGAGUAGAGUGGCGAACGGGUGAGUAACACGUGGGUGAUCUACCUUCGAGUGGGGGAUAACGUCCCGAAAGGGACGCUAAUACCGCAUGACGUUCUGGGUUUAAAGACCUGGAAACCAAAGCCGGGGACCGCAAGGCCUGGCGCUUGGAGAGGAGCCCGCGUCCGAUUAGCUAGUUGGCGGGGUAAUGGCCCACCAAGGCGACGAUCGGUAGCCGGCCUGAGAGGGCGGACGGCCACACUGGAACUGAGACACGGUCCAGACUCCUACGGGAGGCAGCAGUGGGGAAUUGUUCACAAUGGGCGCAAGCCUGAUGACGCAACGCCGCGUGGGGGAUGAAGGUCUUCGGAUCGUAAACCCCUGUCGAACGGGAAGAAAGACCCGGGAGCUAAUCAUCCUGGGAGUGACGGUACCGUUAAAGGAAGCCACGGCUAACUCUGUGCCAGCAGCCGCGGUA
This 534-nucleotide ribosomal RNA is filed under the name uncultured Acidobacteriota bacterium. Its description in RNAcentral is "bacterial SSU rRNA". It matches the Rfam family "Bacterial small subunit ribosomal RNA", at positions 8 to 522 of the family's 1533-position model. The record is from RNAcentral. Lineage: Bacteria; Pseudomonadati; Acidobacteriota.